This 520-nucleotide long non-coding RNA is filed under the name Apteryx rowi (Okarito brown kiwi). RNAcentral describes it as "lncRNA (ENSARWG00000018898.1)". Lineage: Eukaryota; Metazoa; Chordata; Aves; Apterygiformes; Apterygidae. The record is from RNAcentral.
GCUCUUCUAUUUCAGGAAGCAAUUAUUCUGGUAAACAGAAUUCAUCUUCCUCAGGGGGCAGCCAAGUGAGCUCUGCUGGGAAACACUCCAGUCCUGGACUCCUGCUGCUAUUGAGUGUUUUGAGUGCCUUUGCUGCCUCUGCUGCCAUAUCAAAGUGGUCUAUAUGAACUUCUGAAGAUGUGCUUGGCAUCCUAGACAUGGAUUAUACUCUGUAAUACUAGAUUAAUUACUUGAUGUAAGAAAAAAAACAAACUUAAGUCAAAUUAGCAUAUGUUAUUUGGCUGUUAUGUUGUAUGUCUGGUUAAUAUGCCAUGCCUCUGAUUAGUUUACCUUUAGUUUUAGUAAUUAGUAGGUGUCAUUAGUUUUAUCAGUGUUUUAGACAUCAUUUAACAGAGCAUAUUGUGCCCUACCGAUAUGAUUUUUUUUUUAUUUCCAACUAGGAAUGUGAUGAAUACCUAACUGAAAUUUGAUUUGUUGCUUAGAAAAUAUUUGGUUAGUAACCAAAAAGGGGGUUGAAGGG